This 211-nucleotide long non-coding RNA is filed under the name Olea europaea (common olive). RNAcentral describes it as "long non-coding RNA (OEUR_LNC011227)". Lineage: Eukaryota; Viridiplantae; Streptophyta; Magnoliopsida; Lamiales; Oleaceae. The record is from RNAcentral.
CCUUUUGACAUUAUACAAUGGGGGUAUUUAUAAUGAUACAUAUGGAAUGGGAGCCCUUGGAUGAAGUGGCACGUGGCCUUAUCUCCUCGGUUUAAAUGUCUGUUCUUAGGCAUGGGAUUUGACUUGCUAGCUUACGGCGCAUUUAUUGCUUGUGCAGGGCCUCCAUGCUAGUGACAAGACUUGACCUUUAUGCUUAUGACACACAUUCCAU